RNAcentral lists this ribosomal RNA (468 nucleotides) under uncultured bacterium. RNAcentral describes it as "partial 16S ribosomal RNA". It matches the Rfam family "Bacterial small subunit ribosomal RNA", at positions 28 to 507 of the family's 1533-position model. The record is from RNAcentral.
GACGAACGCUGGCGGCGUGCUUAACACAUGCAAGUCGAACGGAAAGGCCCUGCUUUUGUGGGGUGCUCGAGUGGCGAACGGGUGAGUAACACGUGAGUAACCUGCCCUUGACUUUGGGAUAACUUCAGGAAACUGGGGCUAAUACCGGAUAGGAGCUCCUGCUGCAUGGUGGGGGUUGGAAAGUUUCGGCGGUUGGGGAUGGACUCGCGGCUUAUCAGCUUGUUGGUGGGGUAGUGGCUUACCAAGGCUUUGACGGGUAGCCGGCCUGAGAGGGUGACCGGCCACAUUGGGAAUGAGAUACGGCCCAGACUCCUACGGGAGGCAGCAGUGGGGAAUAUUGCAAAAUGGGCGGAAGCCUGAUGCAGCAACGCCGCGUGCGGGAUGACGGACUUCGGGUUGUAAACCGCUUUCGCCUGUGACGAAGCGUGAGUGACGGUAAUGGGUAAAGAAGCACCGGCUAACUACGUG